RNAcentral lists this long non-coding RNA (306 nucleotides) under Nicotiana benthamiana. RNAcentral describes it as "long non-coding RNA (NBEN_LNC002353)". The record is from RNAcentral. Lineage: Eukaryota; Viridiplantae; Streptophyta; Magnoliopsida; Solanales; Solanaceae.
CCAGUGAUACAAACAAAUAAAAAUACAAUAUGAUUCAAUAAUAAAUACUCCUUCCCUUUCAAUUUACAUAAAAUAUUUUCUCUAUCUAUUCCAAACGAAUGACACAUUUCUGUAUUUGAAAAUAAUUUAACUAUAAAAUUUUUUAUUUUAUCUAUUUUACAUAUAAUGACAAGUUUUACAUCCAUGCAAAUAUCAUGGCUCCACUAAACUAUUAGGAUCAUAAGUUUCAAAAUUUUAUCUUUUUCUUCUUAAAUUUCGUGCCAAGUCAAACUAUUUCAUCCAUAUUGAAACUGCAUGAAGUCAUAC